This 269-nucleotide unclassified non-coding RNA is filed under the name Glomeraceae sp. RNAcentral describes it as "partial contains 5.8S ribosomal RNA and internal transcribed spacer 2". The stretch from base 1 to 65 matches the Rfam family "5.8S ribosomal RNA", at positions 84 to 154 of the family's 154-position model. Lineage: Eukaryota; Fungi; Glomeromycota; Glomeromycetes; Glomerales; Glomeraceae. The record is from RNAcentral.
GUGAAUCAUCAAAUUUUUGAACGCAAAUUGCACUCUUUUCGGUGAGUAUGCCUGUUUGAGUGUCAGCCUAUAAAUAAUCGACAUCGUUGCUGUUUCGCGUUGGCGUUGGUAGGAAUUUGGGUCAUCUUUAAUUUUUUGGUUUUGAGAGAUUUAAAAUUUUCACUUUGGUUUCAUGAACGUUUCUAAGAUUUAUUUCUUUAUAUGUUUAAGGUAUCGAUUUUUAUUAGAUGUGAUCAUCAUAUCGGAACGCGCCCAUACUCUUUGAUCAA